GAAUUUUGGAGAGAGUUGGUCACCGUGUGGAGCAGGUUGGAGGUGAGUAGCACCGACAGGGAAAAAUUGACCACCGAGUAGCAUUUCCUCCUUUUAAUUCCUAAGCCUUCUAAACAGAGAGAUAAGUGAGUAGUGAAGGGAGAAAUCGGUUGGCAAUUCCAACUGACUGACUGCAAUUGAGAAAAAGAAGGAAAAGCUGGUGCGAGAGCUAAAGGAACUGAGGCUGAGACUAGGAGCAGGCUGCGACCAUAAAACUUGAAGGAAAAGGAACUACUAGUGGGCGUGAAAGCAAUCUCGAGACCGAAGUGCAACUUGUUUGACUAAUUGUGAAACAAAUCAGAUUCAAAGAUCAAGUGCAAUUGAAAG
This is a long non-coding RNA of Coffea eugenioides, 366 nucleotides long. RefSeq lists it as uncharacterized. The transcript has 3 exons. The record is from RefSeq and is a predicted model, not a curated record. NCBI's taxonomy places the organism in Eukaryota, Viridiplantae, Streptophyta, Magnoliopsida, Gentianales, Rubiaceae.